AUCUCUUUGGAGACAUCCGAUAAAAUUGUAACUAUGCAGAGAAGAUUAGCAUAACCCCUUGUGCAAGUAUCAUACACACAAAUCGAGUUGUUUCUAAAAAAGGC
Small nuclear RNA from Phragmites australis (common reed), 104 nucleotides. The record is from RefSeq and is a predicted model, not a curated record. Lineage: Eukaryota; Viridiplantae; Streptophyta; Magnoliopsida; Poales; Poaceae.